UGGGGAAUUUUGGACAAUGGGCGAAAGCCUGAUCCAGCAAUGCCGCGUGUGUGAAGAAGGCCUUCGGGUUGUAAAGCACUUUUGUCCGGAAAGAAAUCCUUGGCUCUAAUACAGUCGGGGGAUGACGGUACCGGAAGAAUAAGCACCGGCUAACUACGUGCCAGCAGCCGCGGUAAUACGUAGGGUGCAAGCGUUAAUCGGAAUUACUGGGCGUAAAGCGUGCGCAGGCGGUUUGCUAAGACCGAUGUGAAAUCCCCGGGCUCAACCUGGGAACUGCAUUGGUGACUGGCAGGCUAGAGUAUGGCAGAGGGGGGUAGAAUUCCACGUGUAGCAGUGAAAUGCGUAGAGAUGUGGAGGAAUACCGAUGGCGAAGGCAGCCCCCUGGGCCAAUACUGACGCUCAUGCACGAAAGCGUGGGGAGCAAACAGGAUUAGAUACCCUGGUAGUCCACGCCCUAAAACGAUGUCAACUAGUUGUUGGGGGAUUCAUUUCCUUAGUAACGUAGCUAACGCGUGAAGUUGACCGCCUGGGGAGUACGGUCGCAAGAUUAAAACUCAAAGGAAUUGACGGGGU
RNAcentral lists this ribosomal RNA (573 nucleotides) under uncultured bacterium. RNAcentral's name for it is "partial 16S ribosomal RNA". It matches the Rfam family "Bacterial small subunit ribosomal RNA", at positions 355 to 919 of the family's 1533-position model. The record is from RNAcentral.